This 73-nucleotide transfer RNA is filed under the name Loxodonta africana (African savanna elephant). It matches the Rfam family "tRNA". From Rfam's summary of the family: Transfer RNA (tRNA) molecules are approximately 80 nucleotides in length. Lineage: Eukaryota; Metazoa; Chordata; Mammalia; Proboscidea; Elephantidae. The record is from Rfam by way of RNAcentral.
GGGGGUGUAGCUGAGCGGUAGAGCGUGUGCUUAGCAUGCACGUAGGCCAUGAGUUCAAUUCCCAGCAUUUCCA